ACAUGCAAGUCGAGGGGCAGCAUGGUCUUAGCUUGCUAAGGCCGAUGGCGACCGGCGCACGGGUGAGUAACACGUAUCCAACCUGCCGUCUACUCUUGGACAGCCUUCUGAAAGGAAGAUUAAUACAAGAUGGCAUCAUGAGUCCGCAUGUUCACAUGAUUAAAGGUAUUCCGGUAGACGAUGGGGAUGCGUUCCAUUAGAUAGUAGGCGGGGUAACGGCCCACCUAGUCUUCGAUGGAUAGGGGUUCUGAGAGGAAGGUCCCCCACAUUGGAACUGAGACACGGUCCAAACUCCUACGGGAGGCAGCAGUGAGGAAUAUUGGUCAAUGGGCGAGAGCCUGAACCAGCCAAGUAGCGUGAAGGAUGACUGCCCUAUGGGUUGUAAACUUCUUUUAUAAAGGAAUAAAGUCGGGUAUGCAUACCCGUUUGCAUGUACUUUAUGAAUAAGGAUCGGCUAACUCCGUGCCAGCAGCCGCGGUAAUACGGAGGAUCCGAGCGUUAUCCGGAUUUAUUGGGUUUAAAGGGAGCGUAGAUGGAUGUUUAAGUCAGUUGUGAAAGUUUGCGGCUCAACCGUAAAAUUGCAGUUGAUACUGGAUAUCUUGAGUGCAGUUGAGGCAGGCGGAAUUCGUGGUGUAGCGGUGAAAUGCUUAGAUAUCACGAAGAACUCCGAUUGCGAAGGCAGCCUGCUAAGCUGCAACUGACAUUGAGGCUCGAAAGUGUGGGUAUCAAACAGGAUUAGAUACCCUGGUAGUCCACACGGUAAACGAUGAAUACUCGCUGUUUGCGAUAUACAGCAAGCGGCCAAGCGAAAGCGUUAAGUAUUCCACCUGGGGAGUACGCCGGCAACGGUGAAACUCAGAGGAAUUGACGGGGGCCCGCACAAGCGGAGGAACAUGUGGUUUAAUU
This 906-nucleotide ribosomal RNA is filed under the name uncultured bacterium. RNAcentral's name for it is "bacterial SSU rRNA". It matches the Rfam family "Bacterial small subunit ribosomal RNA", at positions 53 to 951 of the family's 1533-position model. The record is from RNAcentral.